This is a long non-coding RNA of Telopea speciosissima, 93 nucleotides long. RefSeq lists it as uncharacterized. The record is from RefSeq and is a predicted model, not a curated record. The transcript is spliced from 3 exons. NCBI's taxonomy places the organism in Eukaryota, Viridiplantae, Streptophyta, Magnoliopsida, Proteales, Proteaceae.
GGGGCUUGUCGUUUGAUUGGGUGUUGCGUUCCUUCUUCAUCUUUGCAUACUUCCUCGCCCACAACCCUUUCAUAACCUCUUGGGAACUUACGA